Molecule: ribosomal RNA, 486 nt
Filed under: uncultured bacterium
Lineage: Bacteria
Description: bacterial SSU rRNA
Rfam family: Bacterial small subunit ribosomal RNA
Source: RNAcentral
GACGACGCUGGCGGCGUGCUUAACACAUGCAAGUCGAACGGUGACGAGGAGCUUGCUCCUCUGAUCAGUGGCGAACGGGUGAGUAACACGUGAGCAACCUGCCCCAGACUCUGGGAUAACAGUUGGAAACAGCUGCUAAUACCGGAUACGAGACGGAGAGGCAUCUCUACCGUCUGGAAAGUUUUUCGGUCUGGGAUGGACUCGCGGCCUAUCAGCUAGUUGGUGAGGUAAUGGCUCACCAAGGCGACGACGGGUAGCCGGCCUGAGAGGGCGACCGGCCACACUGGGACUGAGACACGGCCCAGACUCCUACGGGAGGCAGCAGUGGGGAAUAUUGCACAAUGGGGGAAACCCUGACGCAGCAACGCCGCGUGAGUGAGGAAGGCCUUCGGGUCGUAAAGCUCUGCCAGAUGGGAAGAAAUGGAUGGGGGCUAAUAUCGCCCAUCCUUGACGGUACCAUCAGAGGAAGCACCGGCUAACUCCGUG